RNAcentral lists this ribosomal RNA (253 nucleotides) under uncultured bacterium. Its description in RNAcentral is "partial 16S ribosomal RNA". It matches the Rfam family "Archaeal small subunit ribosomal RNA", at positions 474 to 727 of the family's 1478-position model. The record is from RNAcentral.
UACCAGCACCCCGAGUGGUCGGGACGUUUAUUGGGCCUAAAGCAUCCGUAGCCGGUUCUACAAGUCUUCCGUUAAAUCCAACUGCUUAACAGGUGGGCUGCGGAAGAUACUAUAGAGCUAGGAGGCGGGAGAGGCAAGCGGUACUCGAUGGGUAGGGGUAAAAUCCGUUGAUCCAUUGAAGACCACCAGUGGCGAAGGCGGCUUGCCAGAACGCGCUCGACGGUGAGGGAUGAAAGCUUGGGGAGCAAACCGG